RNAcentral lists this ribosomal RNA (450 nucleotides) under uncultured bacterium. RNAcentral describes it as "partial 16S ribosomal RNA". It matches the Rfam family "Bacterial small subunit ribosomal RNA", at positions 338 to 795 of the family's 1533-position model. The record is from RNAcentral.
CCUACGGGCGGCUGCAGUAAGGAAUAUUGGACAAUGGAGGCAACUCUGAUCCAGCCAUGCCGCGUGAAGGAAUAAGGCCCUAUGGGUUGUAAACUUCUUUUAGACGGGACAAAACCCCUUUACGUGUAAAGGGUUGAUGGUACUGUCAGAAUAAGCAUCGGCUAACUUCGUGCCAGCAGCCGCGGUAAUACGAAGGAUGCAAGAGUUAUUGGGAAUAAUUGGGUUUAAGGCGGACGUAGGCGGCCGGAUAGAAAGCCUGCAGCUUAACUGCAGAAUUGCCGUUGAUACUGUCAGUCUUGAGUACAGUUGAGGUAGGCGGAAUGUGUCAUGUAGCGGUGAAAUGCUUAGAUAUGACACAGAACACCGAUUGCGAAGGCAGCUUGCUAAGCUGUAACUGACGCUGAGGCACGAAAGCGUGGGGAGCAAACAGGAUUAGAUACCCCUGUAGUC